GCAGUGGUGGUCAGUAGUAGAAUCCUCGCCUUCUGUGUGGGAGACCUGGGUUCCAUUCCCAGCCAAUGCA
Molecule: transfer RNA, 70 nt
Filed under: Loxodonta africana (African savanna elephant)
Lineage: Eukaryota; Metazoa; Chordata; Mammalia; Proboscidea; Elephantidae
Rfam family: tRNA
About the family: Transfer RNA (tRNA) molecules are approximately 80 nucleotides in length. Their secondary structure includes four short double-helical elements and three loops (D, anti-codon, and T loops).
Source: Rfam by way of RNAcentral